RNAcentral lists this long non-coding RNA (1597 nucleotides) under Mus musculus (house mouse). RNAcentral describes it as "long non-coding RNA chr14:112029641-112031238". Lineage: Eukaryota; Metazoa; Chordata; Mammalia; Rodentia; Muridae. The record is from RNAcentral.
AUAUGAGGUUGAUCUACCUGUCAACUCCCAGCAUGCUAUUAAGAUAUAAAAUGAGGGUCGUUACAACUUUAAUAAUGCAGAUUUAAUUUUAAAGACUGGCAGUGGCUGUCAGGCACAAGAAGCACCCACAACACCUAGCCCAGUGCCCGUCGGAUUGGGUUCUCCACGUUAGAUUUACUGAAUUGAAUUAUUAGGUAAGUAUUUCUGUCUUGAGCCACGGAAUUCAUUUAUAAAGAAUAAAGAUGAGCUUGUGUCGUCACAUCUAUGUAUUUUGGCGAAAUGUACUAAAAACAGAUUUAUUAUUCUGAGAUAUUUAGAACGAUUCUACAAUAAUCACAUUUAGAUGGUCACUGCUAAUACAUAGAAGACAGUUUUAUGAAAAUAAACAAGAUAAUAAUGAGAAGACAUAUGAAAGUUUUGACGUAGACACAGGGGAGAUACCUCGGCAGUUACAAGCACUGCUGCUGUGGCAGAGAACCUGGGUUUGGUUUCUAGCAAACAAAAGUUAGCUCAAAACUCUCCAGAAAAAAAUAGUUCCAGGGAUUCAAGACCUUUUUUUGCCUCUGUGGAAACAUUUGUGGUGCCACACAUGUACAUCCAAGUAAAACAUUCAUGCACAUACGUUUUUGAAAAUUAAAAUAAAACUGCAUUAGUUAAGGACAUGGAAAGAUGUAACAGGGAGACAGCCUGGUGAUUAAAUGUGGUUGCUGUGCAAGUCUGACAACCUGAGUUUGAUUCCUGGGUAUCAGAUAAAAAGUCCCCAAGGCAGCAAGCCUGGAACAGAAAUAGAAUCAGUAAUGCAGUAAGAGAUACCUCCCAUCAAACCAUGUACAAAAUGAGAACCAACUCCCAAGAGUUGACAUUUAACCCAUGCAGACACCUUGGAGAUUAAGCUUGCGCACACUCAUGUAAAUGUGCACAUAUAGUAUGCAAAUAGCACAACAUAAAAUAUACCACACAGACUUAUACCUAUUUUAAAAAAAAAGAAAUAGCAAUUAUAAAAAGGAAAAUCACUGUGUGUGUGUGUAAUAGCAAGUGAUUAAAGAGGAGGCAAUAAAUUUGAAAGAGAGGUGGAUAAAAAAAGGAAAGACAUGACUGUUCAUAGGUUAUGUGGGAACAGAAAGUUUAUUACACAUAAAAGGGAAAGCGUAAUUAGAAAAAAAGGGAAACACAGGAGAAUCCUGAGUUAACAUCACCAUACUGAGUUAGGCCAUUCAAGGAGAGGAGGGAGAACAUGAGGGAAGCUGUUGAUUAAGAGGGCUAGCCUGGGACAAGAGACUGGCCAAGAGAGUUAAGAGCCAUUCAAAGGAGAAGACCAGGAAAAUAAAAUAGCUGGAUUUCAUAGUGAAAGAUAUCUGAAAGAACAGCCACCCAGGCAAUAGGCUAGAGAAGGUUGGGGGGGGGCAGGGUAUGCCACCCAGAAAGACUUGGUAACACAUAGGAACUGAGGGAUGCUAGAACCUGGACACCAGUGUUUACUUUGAUAUUUUAAUGAACACUUUAGUUAGCCAUUUUUCCUGGCUUUUAGACCUAUAAGAAAUACAUGGGAAAUUUGGAGGAAAGAAACAGAAGGAAAACAGUAUGUAGUUAUAAUCUC